CAUACAGUGAGGAGUGGUAACUCCACCACCGUUGGCGUCUUUUUAACAGCCAGCGGUUGAGGAGUUCCUCAACCUCGCGGAUG
This 83-nucleotide microRNA precursor is filed under the name Dendroctonus ponderosae (mountain pine beetle). Its description in RNAcentral is "mir-2765 microRNA precursor family". It matches the Rfam family "mir-2765 microRNA precursor family". Lineage: Eukaryota; Metazoa; Arthropoda; Insecta; Coleoptera; Curculionidae. The record is from Rfam by way of RNAcentral.